AUCUAGGCCAAGAUAUUACAGGACGAAGAGAGGAGAGCACUAUUAAAAGCUGGAGCUGGAGAAAUGAGAGAGAAUAGCCACCAUAAAAAUCUGACUUUUUAUUCACCUCUUCCUUCUGGAAAUUGGAGGCCAGUCUCAUGUCUGGGUGACAAAACUUGCCCAAGCAUUAUGAGCUGAAGUGACUUCCAGUUGGAAAGGUCUGCUUUGGGAAGGAAAUCUGAUGGAGACUGGGAAAGGUGGAAGAUGCCUGGGAGACAUGAGCCUGUAGUCCAUGAAGGCAAUAGGAAAGCCACUCAUGGGAACUGGUGAGUGAGGCUUUGAUUCUUCAGACUCAGUUAGGCACUAUGCCAUUCAAUACCCACACUCUGAAAUACCAAGAAGUGCUUUGAAAACUAUCAUCUCCUGAAGACAUAUCCCGUCUCUGGAAUGAAUUCUAUAGCCUCUAUUUAUAGGAAAAGUGCUGCUGAAGUCACAUACGCUGAAUUCUCAGUGUAGAUUUAAGUGAAAUAAUGUUAAAACCCCC
This 523-nucleotide long non-coding RNA is filed under the name Anser brachyrhynchus (Pink-footed goose). Its description in RNAcentral is "lncRNA (ENSABRG00000022816.1)". The record is from RNAcentral. Lineage: Eukaryota; Metazoa; Chordata; Aves; Anseriformes; Anatidae.